RNAcentral lists this ribosomal RNA (768 nucleotides) under Triticum aestivum (bread wheat). RNAcentral describes it as "partial small subunit ribosomal RNA". The record is from RNAcentral. Lineage: Eukaryota; Viridiplantae; Streptophyta; Magnoliopsida; Poales; Poaceae.
AUGGUUGAGGAACCGGAUGGAAGAGAAUGGAGACUCUCUGGGGUGUACAGGGAGCCUAGCUGUGAUAACAAGGAGCGUACGUACCAACUAAUACAUGACUUGCAUGCUCAGUCUAGUCUUCCGUGGGUGGCGAUAGGAGAUUUUAAUGAGAUUCUACUCUCGUCGGAAAAGGAGGGCGGAGCCCCGCGUCAUCAGUCGCGACUACAAGCCUUCCAAGACGCAUUGGCAGAUUGUUCCUUAGAGGACAUUGGGUUUCACGGUGACAAAUUCACUUGGUUCCGUGGCGGCUUGAAAGAGCGUCUUGAUCGAGCAGUUUCAAACGGCGACUGGAUGGAGAUGCACCCGUUAUUUGGACUUUGCAACCUGGAGAUGGGGCAGUCGGACCACCGACCUAUAUGCCUAGAUACUGAAUACCUGGCAGGGGUUGCAUCGCCCAGGAUUAGAACAGCUCGUAAAGAGAUGGUGGAGGAAGUGGUGAAAACAGCAUGGCAAAAAGCUGUAGUACAAGGUCUCUGUCCGUCAGCACAAGAGAAGCUUGAGGAGGUGCACAAGGAGUUGCAUGCCUGGGACCGGAAGGUGUUGAAAGGGCCCCGUACUCGCCUACGGACGGCCCAGAAAGAAUUGGAUAAGUUAAUGCGGUCUACGUAUACAGCUGAAACAAGAAUAAAACAAAAAGACCUCACACUCUUGAUUGAAAAUCUGUUGGAACAGGAGGAGAUCUAUUGGGUGCAACGAGGACAUGUCAAUUGGCUACGUCGGGGUGACUAG